GAGCCCAAAAUUUCUGUUGUUAAGUGAGACAUUUGUUAACUGAGUUUUGCCCCAUUUUACGACCAUUCUUGCCACAGUUGAUACUUGAAUCACUGCAGCUGUUAAGUUAGCAACAUGGUUGUUAAGUGAAUCCAGCUUUCCCAUUGACUUUGCUGGUCAGGAGGUCAGAAAAGGGG
Molecule: non-coding RNA, 176 nt
Organism: Pseudonaja textilis
Lineage: Eukaryota; Metazoa; Chordata; Lepidosauria; Squamata; Elapidae
Source: RefSeq, a predicted model, not a curated record